Molecule: transfer RNA, 92 nt
Filed under: Acidimicrobiia bacterium
Lineage: Bacteria; Bacillati; Actinomycetota; Acidimicrobiia
Description: tRNA-Sec
Rfam family: Selenocysteine transfer RNA
Source: RNAcentral
GGAGGCGACCGAGCGCCUGGUGGGCUCCGCGGUCUUCAAAACCGUUGGGGGGUCGCAAGGCCCCCGGCAGGUUCGAUUCCUGUCCGCCUCCG